Molecule: long non-coding RNA, 7564 nt
Organism: Felis catus (domestic cat)
Lineage: Eukaryota; Metazoa; Chordata; Mammalia; Carnivora; Felidae
Exons: 5
Source: RefSeq, a predicted model, not a curated record
GUGCAGUCCUGUGGGAUGGUCUGUGGUCUGCUCAGGAAGGAGAGUAGGGGGUUCUGAUUGGCCCCAGAAAUAUGCCCCAUCUUUCUUCUGUAGUUCAGCAGUAAUUCUCUAGGGUGAGGGUGUACAGAGCCGGAGCUUUCCACCUUGGGCCCCGACAUCUCAGGAUGCGCUCCCUGGGUAGUUCUGUUGGCAGCUUUAGCUUGUGAGCUCACCAAGCUUUGUGAGGAUUUGUCAUGGCUUCAAGGGGUUGGCUCAGUACAUGAGUAGAGUCUGGAGUUUGGGGCCUGUGCCUGCCGGUGCCGUUUGAUGCUGAAAGAGAUACCACAUCUGCAAUGUGAGUCCCUCCUCUUCUCUGCCAAGGCAUGUCCUCACUAGGGCUGUUCCCCCUGAUGCAGAAAAGACAUACCGCAUACCUCAAGAUGCCUUUAUGGGCCAUUGGCCCCUGGCCUGUCUUCUCUGGGAAUAUUGUGUCUGGAUGGGUGUCAUUGACCUAGCCCUGGUUUGUGAGUGCUAGAAAGGAGGAAGGGAAGAUGAGGAGAAGGAGAAUGGAGAACACACACCUAAGAGUUUUUCCUUCAAAUUGGAAUAAGCUCCAGGGGCCCACCCACUGCUAUCGUUAUGAUGUCACAGAAAGGAACAGCCAGAGCAGGGGGAAGAAAUUCAUGAAGUCAUCUGGCCCAAAGCCCUCUUCGAUCUUCCAUACCACCAGGAUGGCAGAGGUUGGUGCAUGUUUCUGACAACUGAGCUCUUGAAUACCCGAGACCACACAGCAGCAACGCUGGGGGACGAACUCACUGAGCUGGUGCCCAGCUGCUCAUCUGGGAAGUUCUACCGGGUUCUCACUUGUAAUCAGCAAACCCAGACUCCUCACCUUAGAGACUAUCAGACCAAGCUUCUCUUGGGAUCCUUGAAGAUGGCUGUCUUGCUGUGGGCUCCUGCUCAAACUCUCAAGCGACUGGCAUUUCCCUGGAGAUUUCUUUAGCACUCAGCACCACGUCCUCGGUCCAGGCGAGGCAGACCCAGCCAACUCUGAAGAAGCUUUGCAUGUUUUCCUUCGCUUAACUUCCAUUUUGCGAUUGGCGUCUCCAUGAAUGGAGUAACCGUGAAACCAGAGCUCAACAGAAGAACGUCGAAAGCUGUCGAGCUACUACUGUGCCACAGGACAGGGCAGGCUAUCGGUGAAACUGUGCUAUAAGGGGGUUUAGGCCCUGGGGGGUCCCCACCCCACUCCGUUUUGCCUCUGCUCCCCUCCUCAGGCCUAUGCUUAAGACCCUUAUGCUGUUUUCUUCUCCACUGGGACUCCUGUAAUACACCAUCCCCUGGGGCUUACUCUGCUUCAGCCUUUCCAGAUCACCCUUGUUCUUUCAAAGCUCAUCCUGGGUUCCAUUUCCUCUGAGAUCUGCGGCUCUGUGUCUUUGGUACAAUUAAUUCGGUCCACACUUAAUGCCCAUCCUGUGCCUGGAUCAGUAUAAGCUUGUGAAGGAAAAGCGCUUCUUGGCCCUGAUCUGGCUUUCUAGGAUGAGCGUGGCCAAGACGACAAACCAAACGAUGCAAAGCCAUUAACGGACAGUCCCUUUUAAGUGAUAGAUUUGCAUGUUACCAGGAGCUUACUGAAGUCAGUGGCUUACCUUCAAAGCAUUCUUAUUGUGACAAACAACUUUUAAAAGGUUUUCUCUUUUCUUAACCUUACAAGCAGGAGAGCAGUACUUAUCAACGGCAGAAAACUUGGAAAGUGAAAGAAUAUAUACGUAGGGGACAAACUUGUUGAUGAUCUCACUACCCAGAGGCAAGCCAGCGUUGGAAUAUUUUUCCUGUCUUUUUUCCCCGAUGCACCGGAGAUCCUGUGUUGCUAUAAUUUUGCCUCUACCACUUUUGUUAGCAAGCACUCUAUCCCAACCAUUUUGCAAUGUUAUAAAACACACUGAAGAGUGAUUCUAAUGGUAGGAGUUUGUCAGCAAGUAGGAGCGCUGAAUUUAUUUGGCACUGAGACUUGGGGUAGCCUCUCUAAUAACACUCCCAUUUCUGCAACUUCUAAGACAAGUGCUGCCAUAGUGUAUUUGUAACUCAGCCGAUCUGCUCAGCCCUUCUCUGAAGACACCGCAUCCUGUGCCGUUAGGUGCGAGCAUCUCCAGUCUCCAGAUUCUCCACUUCCUCCCUUCCCCCACCCCGAUUUCCUUCAUCUCCAGCGAGCGAUAAUAUCUUUCAUUUGAGCUUCUCUUUCUGCCUCCAAUGACUGCCUCCCCUGAUGAAUUCUCUCUGGGUGACUUUGGCAUUUGCAUAUUUCCUCGCUUGGAUAUUCUGAGAUGUUGGAACCAGAGAGCAGGUUGAUGCGAUCAGGUACUUAGCUGAAUGAGGCUUUCUCGGGAACUGCACAAAUAUUUGGAGUCGGGUGUGUGCCAAUAGGCAAUUAAUUGAAAUGUGGACACAGCAAGCUUCUGGAGGAAGGAAACUGAACUUGAGAAAUUAGCUGUGGGAAGCAAUCCUCCGCAAGAUACAAAACAGUAAUUUGGGAAUUUCCUUUACCUCAGACUGAAAUUGAUUUGGUACAGAAAGAGGAAAACAAAAACAAAAACAAAAAACCCAAACCCAAACAAGGUUGAUUCCUGCAUCACCAGAGCUGGAAGGCAUUGUCAGAGAAUGCUGGUCUGACCCUCCUGGGGAUGGAGGAAAGAAAGCCCAAGGUCAGUGGCAAGUUGGGGCAAAUUCAGGACCAGAAGCAAGAUGUCCUGACUCCAGCCCAGGGCACUAUCCAUUUUAUAAGCUGACUGUCUACCUGGAGAGCCGGAUUAUCAUAUCAGGAGCAAAAGGGCGAGGACUGUGAUUUAAGCAUUUCCCCGUCACCGAUGACUUUGUGAAUACAUUUAGGAAAAUCCGUAACAAAACCAAGGUACCCGCUGCUUGUGGCCUUAAGGACGGAAGCACAUCUAGCCAACAUUUAUGGGGCUCCUGCUUCAUGUGUGGCUGUCCGCUAGGCACUAAGAAUGGAGGACGUUGCAAGCGACGCUAUACGGAGAAAUCGCAUCCCAGAGUGACAACGGAGGUUUCCCUGGGAUGUGUUUUGUGCUGUUUGAGCAGGAGUGAAAGCAUGUGACUUUUUAAAGGGAAACCUCAGGAAGGGAGAGUGGAAGUGGAGACGUUGCCAUAAUGCUCAGAAGUCACGCUCAGCGGAUUUGGAGAGUCUUCCUGAAGCUUCUGCUGGGAGGGGAGAGGGAGAAGCCACCGUGGGCUUGUGUGACUUUGGACACCGUGUUCUAAGGGAAGCCGUGUGACCCUUUCCCACUCGCUCCAGCCCAGCCUCACGGCAUCCAGCAGCCACCACUCGCCUCCUGAUUGCCAUGCCUUUCUGCAGCCUGGAGAUUUGCAUUGUAAAUGCUGUUUGUUAGGCCCCUGAAAUAAUAUUAAUCACCGUAAAACAAUUACGUUGCAUAAUUUGUACAUAAAAAAGAAAGAGUGAACCUUUUGCUUGAAUUAAUAUUUCCUUGUUUGUAUCUUUCUCAUCCUCACAAAUAAUGAGACCCCUGUCUGCCCUUCUAGGUGAGAAUGGCUUUGGGAAAAGAAAGGUAUCUAUCUUCGAAUGGCUUCUUGAAAUGAUGCACAGUUGUCCGGAGCCUGGUGGCCUAUGCAGUUUGGGGUGGAAGAACCACGGACCCUGGGGAAAGGGGCAUCUCGACACCCUGUUGCAAGAGGGAAGAGACCCUGGAAGUGAAGAGGAGAAGGCCUUGGGAAGAUAGAGACACACGAUACAGCCACAGCCCAGGGAUGCCUGGAGUCACAGGAGCUCAAACAGGCAAGGAAGGAUUCUCCCCUCCAGCCUUCGGAGAGGGCGUGGCCCUGCCUAGGCUUGAUUUCGGAUCUCUGGACUCCAGAACUAGCAGAGAAGGGUUUUCUGUUGUUUUCAGCCACUACGUUUUGUAGCAGUUUGUUACAACAGCCCUAGGAACUCUCUCACACACACACACACACACACACACACACACACACACACCCCAUGCCCUCCCCCUUCCCACAACCUCUCAGGGAGAUUCACUGGCUCGAAUUUUGAGUUGAUGAUAAUGUUCUCACAAGCCACUGCUGGAGGUCCCCAGAGCACAUCCAAGCUUGUGGGACUGCCGUGCUGUGCUGUACCUGGGUCCCAGAUGAUUUCUCCCAGGAAGACUCUCCUUCCCAGGAAGUCACAUACCAGGCAUUGAGCACAGAGAAUUUCAAGGUCAGGUCCCCCUGACAUACCGUUUAGGACUGGAAAUAAGGGCCUGCGUAUGAGGCAGAAUUGGAGAGGACUCUGUAACUACCAUUUUGGACUCUCUUCUUUACCCUCUGCUUCUUUAUCGAAUCUCAAAGGCUCAUGACUAGAGUUAGCACCCAUACUCCAGGACAACAUACAUUUCAAAACUAACAGGACCCUAUAUAUGGAGCACAUAUGUACCAGGCGCUGUAUUAAAAUUUCUACAUUGGCUAUUUCAUUUCUCCUUGCAGAAGUCCCGGAGGUGUGUGUGGGUGGGCGGUUAUCCUGAUUUUGCAGAUGAGGAAACUGAGGCCCAAGGACAUGAGGUAAUACUCCCAAAGUCAGGAGGCUGACAGUUCGCAGAGCCAGCCUUUGAACCCUGGGUGUCUUUGACUCCACGGCUCAUACCCACAAGCGCUUUUCUACUAUUUUGUUCUUAGGAAGGCAGCCCGGUGCAGGGACACACAUCUGUGCCUGUCCUGGGCGCUCACUUUCAAAAGAAUAUGCACAAUUUUUGCAUUUGAGGCCAUUUGACUUGGUUAAUUCGUUCACAUGGCACAUUUUCUUUCCGUAAGGACUUCAGAGGGCAUUUGGGGACAGAUUCCAAAUUGAACUAUACCCUCCACAAGGUGCUUUGUGGUUUGGUUCGGUUAGGGCUCUGCCUUCACGCCAAAGUUCACACACCUGAAUGUUGUAAGAAUUUUCAUGGUCUGGCUGCUGCCUGCCUCCCCAGCCUCGACUCUCGUAAGCCUCUCCUCUCCACCUCGUGUGGGUGACCUCAUAGCUGUUCUGAGCUACUUUCAGUUUUUGUGUGUCUCAUCCUCUCAACAGACUCCUGUCCUUUGCCCAAGCUGUUUCUUCUGCUCGGAAUUCCGUCUCCCUACUGCCCUCUCCACUGGUCACCCCAUCUCUAUCCUUUGACUAUUUAACUUGGGUAGCUCUAUUCAUCGUCUGGGUCCCAGAUUAGAAGUCAGCCACUCCAGGGACGUCUGGGUGGCUCAGUCAGUUGGGCAUCUGACUUUGGUGCAGGUCAUGAUCUUGUGGCUCAUGAGUUCGAGCCCCGCUUUGGGCUCCAAACCUGCUUCGGAUCCUCUGUCCCCCAUCUCUCUGCCCCUCCCCCACUCGUGCUGUCUCUCUUUCAAAAACAAAUACACUUUUUAAAAAAAAAGAAGUCAACCACUCCAAGAAGCCUUCUUGGAUCACCUGAACUUGCCCAAGAACCUCUGGUGGGACUCUCAAAGCAUCCUUGAUCUCCCCACCUAUCACGUUGUAUGAUAAUUUUAUUAUCUGUAUCCUUCACCUUGCUGCAGGUUGAGGGCAGGGACAGGGUCUGCUUGAGUCACCGUGUAUGCCUGGCACCCAGCCCAGCACCCGGCACAGAAUAGUGAUUCGAUAGGUAUUUGUGAAAUGAAUGGAGUUAAGAAGGCCAGAAAUGACUUCCUGGAUCAUUAGGCUCAGAGUUAUGUCAUUAAUUAGGACACUGAGGAAUGUUAUAUUAAAGGGCAUAGUUAUCUGACCAGUUGUCAACCUCAAAGGUUAAGGAUGUUCUCAGAAUAUUCUAGAUUCGUUUUGCAAGCUCCUAGCAACAACUUCAUCUAAAUCAUUUGGACAAAUUUUAACAUUGAAGGAGAUGGCCUUAUUUGAUGUGUUCAGUUCAUUUCUUCUUUGCAACUAAUCUAUUUAGUAUGACCACUUAGAAUACUAAAUUGCAAAUUGUUGACCACCAAAUACAUAAGAUAACAGUUUCAAUGUUGUUUCUAAAUUGAUUCCUCCAAGUGUCAAAGGGAACCCCCAAGUACCUAAGGUGGGCUGUCUGUCGCCUUUUACUAAGGCCCCUGUGAGAUAAUAGGAAAACAUAUAUAUAUUGGUCUCUGCCCCUGGUUCCUGCUACCCAGCUCCCCAAAUCCUUGUAAUUUCCUAAGGGAUGAGGGUACUAGGAGAGUCUUUUGUUCUAAUGAGGCAGCUCUGGUGGGCUCCUGGUUGGCUCCUGGGUGGGGCUGGUCACCAGAAAGACCAAGUCAUGAUUAGAAGCUUGGAAUUUUCAGCCCCCUACUGUCCAGAGAGGAAUUAGUCAUUGGUCAUGCCAUAAAAUUCCCAAACAAUGGGGUUUGGAGAGCUUCCAUGCUGGCAAGCACACCAAUACUGGGAGUAUUGCGAGGUACACGCCCCAGCCCCACAGGGACAGAAGCUCUUGCACUCGGGACUCUCCCAGACCUCGCCCUAUGUAUCUCUUCAUCUGGCUGUUCAUCGGUGUCCUUUAUCAUAUGCUUAAUAAACUGGUAAAUGCAAGUAAGUGCUUCCCUGCGAGCUGCUCUAGCAAAUUAAUCAAACCAAAGGAGGGGGGUCGUUGGAGCCUCUGAUCUAUAGCUGCUUAGUCAGAAGCACAUGUGAUAACCAGGGCUCUGGAGUGUGUAUGUGGGAAGGCGGGGGAACAGGCCAGUGGGAAUGAGCCUUUACCCUGUGGGGUCUGACACUCUCUCCAGGUAGACAGUGUCCAGAUGGAGGUGAACUGUAGGACACCCGGCCAGUGUCGGAGACCUGUUUGUUGUUGUGGGGGGAAAGCCCCACAUAUCCGGUGAGCAGAAGUAUCAGAAGUGUGUGUGGAGUGAAGGAAUGCCCUUGGGACAGACACACAGUAGUCAAGAACUGGUCUUUCUCUGCCGGGAAAGAGGAAGACUGUGUCUCUCUUGGGCAUCUCCCUGGUGACUAUGGAUUGAGCUCCUGGCCCUUCUGAACCUUCUGACCACGCUCAGUGCGGGGGGUUUCAGUCCACCCCCUGCUCUUCCUUUGCUCAACACAAGGGCAUUGGUAUCAUUCUUUAGGUUCUUUCUGGCCUUCCUGAAGGGCAGUGACUUCAUUCAGGAUUGCAGAGCCUGGUUGGAUGUGAUGGGCUUCAACAGCUGUUGCACUUGGUGACUUAAAGACCAAUGCUCUGUGGCUGGUGCUGGAGAAAGAGCUGGAUUAGGGGUCAGAGGACCUGGGUUCUCACCCGGCUCUUCCUUGUGGCCUCUCUUAGUUAAUGUCUGCUGAAGGGAUAUGUCUUGUGUCAGUGGGUGGGCUUGUUUCCCUUGCCUUUUGAAAACGUGAAGAACAAGACCUCUCCAUCCCUUGACUUUCUUUCAAAUUAUCUUCCCCUCCCAUCUUAAAACAGUGCGAACAAAGGGCAAACUCAAUGGCAUUGUCAGAAUGGAAAGGCCCCUUCCAAUUUUUUGGCUUCUUUGUCUGAAGUCUUGUCUUCAGUCAGCACCAAAAUAUCCUUACAAACAGAGAAUGUGGGGAGUCCACACUUGAAACUAAUGGCCAUGGAAUCUGAGAAUGGUUGAGUCAGAGGGAGGAAGGAAA